This 253-nucleotide ribosomal RNA is filed under the name uncultured bacterium. RNAcentral describes it as "partial 16S ribosomal RNA". It matches the Rfam family "Bacterial small subunit ribosomal RNA", at positions 524 to 776 of the family's 1533-position model. The record is from RNAcentral.
UACGAAGGGGGCUAGCGUUGCUCGGAAUCACUGGGCGUAAAGGGUGCGUAGGUGGUGAGGUAAGUCGGAUGUGAAAUCUCCGGGCUCAACCCGGAAAUGGCAUUGGAAACUACCUUGCUGGAGGAUUUGAGGGGGGAUUGGAAUACUUGGUGUAGCAGUGAAAUGCGUAGAUAUCAAGUGGAACACCAGUGGCGAAGGCGAAUCCCUGGAAAAUACCUGACACUGAGGCACGAAAGCUAGGGGAGCAAACAGG